CGUAGGGUGCGAGCGUUAAUCGGAAUUACUGGGCGUAAAGCGUGCGCAGGCGGUGAUGUAAGACAGAUGUGAAAUCCCCGGGCUCAACCUGGGAACUGCAUUUGUGACUGCAUUGCUGGAGUGCGGCAGAGGGGGAUGGAAUUCCGCGUGUAGCAGUGAAAUGCGUAGAUAUGCGGAGGAACACCGAUGGCGAAGGCAAUCCCCUGGGCCUGCACUGACGCUCAUGCACGAAAGCGUGGGGAGCAAACAGGAUUAGAUACCCUGGUAGUCCACGCCCUAAACGAUGUCAACUGGUUGUUGGUCCUUCACUGGAUCAGUAACGAAGCUAACGCGUGAAGUUGACCGCCUGGGGAGUACGGCCGCAAGGUUG
This 370-nucleotide ribosomal RNA is filed under the name uncultured organism. RNAcentral's name for it is "bacterial SSU rRNA". It matches the Rfam family "Bacterial small subunit ribosomal RNA", at positions 526 to 896 of the family's 1533-position model. The record is from RNAcentral.